This 253-nucleotide ribosomal RNA is filed under the name uncultured bacterium. Its description in RNAcentral is "partial 16S ribosomal RNA". It matches the Rfam family "Bacterial small subunit ribosomal RNA", at positions 524 to 776 of the family's 1533-position model. The record is from RNAcentral.
GACGAACCGUGCAACCGUUGUUCGGAAUCACUGGGCUUAAAGGGCGCGUAGGCGGGCCAGCCAGUCUGUGGUGAAAGCCUCCAGCUUAACUGGAGAAGUGCCGUGGAUACUGCUGGCCUCGAGGAGGAUAGGGGCAUCUGGAACGGUCGGUGGAGCGGUGAAAUGCGUUGAUAUCGACCGGAACUCCGGUGGCGAAGGCGAGGUGCUGGGUCCUAUCUGACGCUGAUGCGCGAAAGCCAGGGGAGCAAACGGG